AAUAAGGUGCCUGAACAAAAAGGAUUAUUUUGAUAGAAUAAAUUAUGUAAUAUUAUACUCUUAUUA
Molecule: transfer RNA, 66 nt
Filed under: Magicicada septendecim (seventeen-year cicada)
Lineage: Eukaryota; Metazoa; Arthropoda; Insecta; Hemiptera; Cicadidae
Description: tRNA-Ile
Source: RNAcentral